GAUGAACGCUGGCGGCGUGCCUAAUACAUGCCAGUCGAGCGAACAGACGAGGAGCUUGCUCCACUGACGUUAACGGCGGACGUGUGAGUAACACGAGCAUAACCUACCUAUAGGACUGGGAUAACUUCGGGAGACCGGAGCUGAUACCGGCUAAUCUAUUCAACCGCAUGGUUCAAUAGUGAAAGACGGUUUUGCUGUCGCUGCGGGAUGGGUCCGCGGCGCAUCAGCGAGUUGGUAAGGUGCCGGCCUACCAAGGCCACGAUGGGUAGCCGGCCUGAGAGGGUGUCCGGCCACACUGGGAAUGAGAUACGGCCCAGACUCCUACGGGAGGCAGCAGUGGGGAAUAUUGCACAAUGGGCGCAAGCCUGAUGCAGCGACGCCGCGUGGGGGAUGACGGCCUUCGGGUUGUAAACCCCUUUCAGCACAGACGAAGCGUAAGUGACGGUAUGUGCAGAAGAAGCACCGGCCAACUACGUG
RNAcentral lists this ribosomal RNA (477 nucleotides) under uncultured bacterium. Its description in RNAcentral is "partial 16S ribosomal RNA". It matches the Rfam family "Bacterial small subunit ribosomal RNA", at positions 28 to 507 of the family's 1533-position model. The record is from RNAcentral.